RNAcentral lists this unclassified non-coding RNA (218 nucleotides) under Hevea brasiliensis (rubber tree). The record is from RNAcentral. Lineage: Eukaryota; Viridiplantae; Streptophyta; Magnoliopsida; Malpighiales; Euphorbiaceae.
CAAUUUUUCCUUCCUUACCUUGAAAGUGGUUUGGUUUGAAGAGGAUUGAACCCUUGCCUUCUUCACAGCCCCACCAGUUACAUUGCUGUUACACUCAGAGGAGCGAUCUAGUUGAGGAGGAUGUCUAGGACGAGAAUGAUCAGCAAGAGAGUUAUUGUUAUUGUUUGAAAAAUCCAACAUAUUACUGCUGAAACUUGUCACACAUGACUGAGGAGAAG